GGGGGGGGGGGGGGGGGGGCCUGGCGCAGGCAGGUCGAGGGGCGGCGCGGUAAGAGCGUGCUCUUACGGGUGGCGAGUGGCGGACGGGUGGGGGAUACAUCGGACUCUACUUUUUCGUGGGGGAUAACGUCGGGAAACUUACGCUAAUACAGCAUCCGCCCUCCGGGUGAAAGCAGGGGAUCUUCGGACCUUGCGCGAUUGAAUGAGCCUAUGUCGGCUUAGCUAGUUGGCGGGGUAAAGGCCCACCAAGGCGACGAUCCGUAGCUGGUCUGAGAGGAGGAUCAGCCACACUGGAACUGAGACACGGUCCAGACUCCUACGGGAGGCAGCAGUGGGGAAUAUUGGACAAUGGGCGCAAGCCUGAUCCAGCCAUACCGCGUGGGUGAAGAAGGCCUUGGGGUUGUAAAGCCCUUUUGUUGGGAAAGAAAAGCAGCAGGUUAAUACCCCGCUGUUCUGACGGUACCCAAAGAAUAAGCACCGGCUAACUUCGUG
RNAcentral lists this ribosomal RNA (492 nucleotides) under uncultured bacterium. RNAcentral's name for it is "partial 16S ribosomal RNA". It matches the Rfam family "Bacterial small subunit ribosomal RNA", at positions 38 to 507 of the family's 1533-position model. The record is from RNAcentral.